CCCUUAGAUGUCCUGGGCCGCACGCGCGCUACACUGAACGGAUCAGCGCGUUUUCCCUUCCCGAGAGGGACGGGUAACCUGCUGAACCCCGUUCGUGGUAGGGAUCGGGGCUUGCAAUUAUUCCCCGUGAACCAGGAAUGCCCAGUAAGUGCAAGUCAUAAGCUUGCGUUGAUUACGUCCCUGCCCUUUGUACACACCGCCCGUCGCUCCUACCGAUUGAAUGGUCCGGUGAAAAUUUCGGAUACCGGCAUUGCUGGCGGUUCGCCGCCGGCGACGCUGGUAGAAGAUCUUUAAACCUUAUCAUUUAGAGGAAGGAGAAGUCGUAACA
RNAcentral lists this ribosomal RNA (328 nucleotides) under uncultured eukaryote. RNAcentral describes it as "partial 18S ribosomal RNA". It matches the Rfam family "Eukaryotic small subunit ribosomal RNA", at positions 1470 to 1796 of the family's 1831-position model. The record is from RNAcentral.